Long non-coding RNA from Aethalodelphis obliquidens (Pacific white-sided dolphin), 7159 nucleotides. RefSeq lists it as uncharacterized. The record is from RefSeq and is a predicted model, not a curated record. The transcript is spliced from 2 exons. Lineage: Eukaryota; Metazoa; Chordata; Mammalia; Artiodactyla; Delphinidae.
GAUCCAGGGGUGCUGCAGCCCCCGGCCAGCGCCCCGUCCCCUGGCCCAGCUCCCCGAGGCCAGGGUUCAGAGCCUGAAAAGUGGCCUGUCCUGGUGUUCUGGCCUGGCCCCGGGCUUCACAGGACCUGCUGAGCCAAGUCGGCUGGCUGUUUAUCGUCUGGGUGACAGUUGGGAGGCCUCGAUGUCCUCUCGUCGCCGAGCUCAUGGUCAUAGCCUGAGUGGGAUUCUAAGUUCCCCAAGUCCUUUGGUGGCGUGCGGGCUGGGCUUUUACAGGGUGUCCCCUUUAGUGAAGGCUGCCCGACCCCAAGAUUGUUGUGAAGGCUGUGAGUAGCCGGAAGUAUUCUGGCAAAACUGUCCAAAUCACAGAGACUAAACUGAUUAAUAAUUUACCCUCCCCCUCCACCUACUUCACAAAGAACAAAGUAGCAAAUUUUGACUGAAAAUGCUCUGUGCAGCUCAAAAAAGACAGAAAGAAAGCUAGAUAGAGGUGAAACGGUUAUGGGUGAGUUUGCCUGAGAAAUAUCCUGUGGAAACUUAUCAAAAUAGAGCCUGGCCUCUUAGAGGUACGUGAUGUUUGUUUCAGGUCCAGAGAACAAAAUCCCUCCUACAUGGGUUAGUAGCAUUUGACCAAGUUGAGGCUGGAAGGAGCCUUCCUGGGCUGUCAGCUGAGUGUAUUCGGGCACCUUCGUGGUUCUGUCAUUUGAGAGCCUGGCUGCCUAGGAGAGGUUCAGGUGUUCCUCAGUUUUCGUAGUUCCCUUCCUGAGAUUCAGGUGUGGAAGAAAGCAAGUGAAUUGCUUCUUACGAAGACCCGGAGCCUCCUUGUUUCUAGCCCAGCAGCCCUGGCAGAGACUCCUGUCGUAGAGUCCUCUGGUGGCCACGCUUUUCCAGGAAACACUGAUGUGGAAAUUUGGCUGUUGGAUGUCUGGGGCAAAGGGAGCGUGAAUCAGACCACCCAGGGGACAAGCAGAAUGAUCAGCUAGGACAGCUGUGGGUGUGUCAGUCACAGUUCGUGGCAUGUGUGUUGCCUAAGGUGCUUUCAGACAAGUACCCAUCUGUGUGAGUAGUGCCCCUAGAGGGGCUUACGUUUGUUAAGCACCUAUUAGGCACCAGGCAUGGUCCAUACAGUGUCACCAAUUCCCCAGACAGCCCUGGGAAGGGGGAUGCACUAUCCCCAUUUUACAGGCAGGCAAACUGAAUGUGAGACAGGUGAAGGCAGUUGGCCAGGGAGUAAUGCUUGCGUAGCUGGUUAGCAGCUCAGCUGGCUGAAUGCUACCCUCUGUGCCUGUAUCUCUUUUAAACCCAGUAUCCUUGGCCCAGCUGUACCAGAAGGCAAGUGAAGAAAGGGUCUGGAUCCCUGUGGGAAAGGGCCAGUGCAGCUCCCAAGGUCCACCUGUCAGUGACCACAUCCUUGAGGGAGGCAGGGACGCUGGGGCUCCAAGGAGGGCAGCUGCUCCUUCCUACCUGGAGCAUCUCUCCUGCGAAGGCUGGAGUUUGAUUUCGCUCAGAGCCCGCUGGUUUUCCCACAGGUGGAGACAGGAGUGGGCCUGAGCCCCGCGACUCUUUUCAGGGCCAAAGCAGACGCAUCUUCCACGGGGAGGAUCAUAGAUCAGGCCCUUUUGUCUGUGGGAACCUCUUCCCUGAGCAGGCUGGACCUCAAGGCUGAGGCUGGGGAGGGAUGGAGGAGAUGCAGGUAGGGUCCCUUGGAAUGGGGUGACUCCCCAGAGACAGGCUGGGUCAGGGGAGAAUGCAGAACUCCUGAGGGGGUUGCCGGCGGUGGGCUGGCCAGCAUAUGGCACUGGAGGAGUGCCAGCCAGGUGUUAGUGCAGAAGCCAGGAGGCCAGAGAAGGGCCCACUUACUAGAGCUGGGAAGCCUCUGCUAGUGGCAGCCUGGCACUGAGCUUGCUGGGGGCAUGGAGUUCAGAAGGCCAGGGGAGCUGUCGCAGAUACAAGUACAGACAGGAGGGGCUCCACCAGACUCCUGCGGCAGGAGUGGGAUGGUGGGUGCACAGCUGAGAAUGGCACUGCCAGCAUAACCCCCACCCCAGUGCACCGUUUGCUCUCUGGCGGAAAGAGUGAUGUCAGGAAACCCCAUCUUGGCAAGAGUGUGCUAAAGAUUGAGGGCAGUGUGUGCAAAAUGCACACGCCCCAAGGAUUUCCUCCUUGUUCACGUGAAAAAAGGGGAACUGAGAGGCCCUGGUUUGCAGGAAGCAUACCCCGUGGCGGGGAGUUGCGAGCUAACUGAGACGGCCCAAAGAUCCACCCUGGUGGCCUGCCCCUGCGGAGAGGCCAGUUUGGUGGAGGUUCUGGUCCUGGUUCCUGGGGAAAUCUCUUUGGUCAAGACCCCAAGGAAGUGGGGGGACAGGACAGAGCGUACUUGGCUUACAGAGGGCGGCCUCCAGGAAAACCUCUGCCAAGCAGAGCUGGGGGGAGCCCUGGUGGGCAAGGACUGGCCACAAGGAUCCUGCUAUUCAGUGAGUGGGGCAGCCUUUCAGAGGGUGCCAGGUGGAGGGGAGCCAGCUCCUCCCAGAGAAGGGAGGAGGCCUAACAGAUAAGACCCACAGCUGCCCAGGAGUUAUCAAGGCCCUUAGAUAAAAGCAGCCAGGAACAUCUUUCUUGAGGGUCUGUUCAGCCACGAAGAGGUCAAGGAUCUGAGAGAGACGUGGUCUAGGGGGAGCUGAGGUGAUGCUCUUCCCUCGAACGAAGAGAAGAAAUUAGGGCUCUGGAAGAUACUGUCAGGCAUCUGCAAAAACCACCAGAGCUUUUGGGAAAUAAUUCUGGAGGGUAAUAAGACUGGAAUGCAUACACAACAGAGCUUUCCUUGACAGAGGUGCUGUUCUCAGGAUCCACGAUCUGGCUGCAAGGUCGCUUGCAAGGUACUCAAGAGGUACUAACGGAAUAUGACACUGCCAGCUGGACUAGUCAGCUGCAGAGGGUCACCCUUGCACCUCCUUCCCUUCACCUUCUGUUCUCCCCUUUUGGGUUCAGGUGAUUGUGCUGCAGGAGUUUACAAGGUGCGGCUGGGGCAGAGAGAUGUGCUGUGGAUCAUUAAGGGAUAGUAUUUUAUCCAUUGCUAUGUAACAAGCCACCGCAAAACAACCGUUUGUUAUCAUCUCACACAUUUCUGUGGGUUGACGGGGCUCAGCCGGGCGCUUCUUCUGCCGGUCGAUCUUGGUGUCUCUCACGCGUUUGCAGUUAGAUGGUGGCCGCAGCUGGGGUCCUGGAGGCUCAGCUGGGCUGGCACCUCCAAAAUGGUGUCUUCACUCACAUGCCUGGUGCCUUCCAUCUGGCCUUUCUCUCUGCGUGGUGUCGUCCUCGGGUGCCUUUCUGCAUGGCCUUUCUCUUCAGCAGGGCAGUUGGAGUGUUUAACAUUCAGGCUUCUUAACACAAAAGUGCAAGUUGCCAGGUCUUCUUAAGGCGUAGGCUCAGAACUGGCGCACCACUUCUACCACAUUCCACGGGUAAAGUGAGUAACAGUGUGGGAGGGAGGUGCAUACAGGUGUGUAUACAGCGAGGCAAGGUUCAUUGAGGCUAUUUUGCAGACUAGCUACCUCAGAAGGGUAGGGAGAACACCCUGGGACAGAUGAUCCAUUAGAGAGGAAGCAGCGCCAGGCCAGACCCUAGAGAGAGCCUGGGGUGGGGAUGGGUAGAACGCACAGAUUUGGCCAUUCUGCUAGGAAAUUCUCCAUCGCCAUCCUUGCAAGUUUUUGUUGUUGUUCGUUGUUUGUUUUUGUUUUUAAAGUCGCCAGGGAUUUCUUUAUAAAGGCCACACAAUAAAUGGUGCAGCUGAUUUUGAAACUAGAUUUUCCUGUCCCUGAAGCCUGGGUCUGUCCCCUGGGCCACCGACAGACCAGCCCAGCUUUUUCAGGGUGGGGCUGUUUGGUGCUGGUUGUUAAUGGACAUGGUGCCUCCGAGCUGCCUGACAUCUAGUAGAUGCUUGAUGUGUUAUACAAAUUGAUUUUAAUACAGGGCCUUUCUUUCUGUUACGUGGAAAUUACCUAAAAUGGGCGUGACCUUGUUCCUCACACCCGUAUUUUUUAAGGCGGUCGUCAGCUCUUUCACAAAAGGCAUAAUUAGGGUUGGUGGUUUGCAGAGCAUGUAGCUGUGAUCGAAAAGAUUACGGUGCUUUCUGCCAUCUUCACGAAGUCAUCCUGCCCUUUGACUUGGGGGCUGUGGCCCGCGUUUGUGGCUCCUGUGCUGUGUGAAACUCUCCCUUUGGCCCAUACUCUGUCUGCCUCUGAUCCGGAGGGGCGUCCCCCCUCUGCACUGCUCUGUGCUGGUCUGGUCAACUGGCCACCCCUCAGGACUUCAAAGCAGUCGGCCGGGCUUGUUGGAGUCUCUGGAUUCGGGGCAUCUUCACAAAAGUUCCCUUAGCAACAAGUCGGCAGGAAUCCCUGACAUCUGUUAACCACCACAUGAAUCCCUGCAGUCCAUUACCAGCUGGAAACAUGAAUGGGACGCUGACCCGCUUGUACUCUUCCCAGCCUGAAAAAGCCCAGCUUUUAUCUGACAGCCUGGUCGACCUCGUCUACGAGGACGGAUGCUGGUCCCUACGUGGCCGGUGAAAGAAGAGGUUUGGUAAACCAGGAAGGCUUGGAUACCGGUUAGGUGUCGGGAUUUUUGUCGGGCCGCUCCAGGGGACGGUGUUCUCCCAGCUGCCCGCUUAUCACUCCCAGCAGGCAGGCGGCACGUGACAAGCUUUCCACCAGAAUGUCAGCACGGGUCCCCUGGUCCUUAAUUGCACAAUGAGUAGAUUCCGCUCUUGCCUACGGCGGCAAGGCUUCUGGGUGGUGUUUGCCCCGUGGAGAGAAGUAGAAAUGGUGGCCAGCAGCUCGGCCUGGCUUGUCCUUUGGAGGACCAGAGCAUGGGUGACACUGUGUGGGUUCAGUUGCGACAGGUGUGUGAAUUGUGCCAGGUUCGUGUAGAUUCCUCAGAGGACUCACCCACCUCCUCCCUCCACAUUUAGUGUCUCUCCUGUCUUCCAUCUGGUAAAGAUCUGUUUUAUUAGGUUAACUUCCCGGUUCACUGUAUUCCCCUCGGUUCUUGAGCUGGUCGCCAGACUCAGUCCCCAGGGACUUACAUGUCCAAGCUAAACUCUUAAUCGCUCCCUUCCUUUCACCCUCUUUUCCCCCCACCCUCCAAACCCUUGUGCAUGUCGCCACCAUCUCUCUACCGCGUCACCUGACUCUGCCCGCCUCUUACCUUUUCUCUCCUGUUCAUUCGGGUGGCAAGCCUGGUCUGCUCUCCCUGAGAAACGUUUCUCAGAGCCUUCUCCUUCUGCACCUGCCUUGGCAAACUUUUUCUGUAAAGGGCCAGGAAACAUGUUAGGCUCUGCAGGCCAAGAGGCACACUCGAGUUACAGCUGCAUCACUGCGAUGUGUAGUGCGCCGCAGGCAGUGAGAAGCCGUGAGAGCGCCCAUAUGGUCUCUGUCACAGUGGCUCAGCUCUGCCCGCGGAGCACGAAACAGCUAGAGAGGAGCCCCAAACCGACGGGUGUGGUUGUGUUCCGAUAAAACUUUAUUUAUGGACACUGAGGUUUGAAUUUGUGCCAUGCAAUAUCCUUCUUCUUUCGCUCUGUUCUCAACCAUUUAAAGAUGGAUAGGCCAUUCUUAGCUUAUGGGCUGUGUGUAGUUUGCCAGUCCCUGUUCAAAAGUUGAUCGUUCAUUCAACAACCCCUAAUUGAGUGCCGACGAUGGGAUGUGAGCACUGCUGGAGGUGAAGCAGUGAUAAGACAUAGAAAAGACGCUUACCUUUUAGUUGGGGAGAUGGUAAACUAGCAAAAAAAAAAAAAAAAACCAUAUAUAUAUAUAUAUGUGUGUGUAUGUAUACUUUUAAAGUGGUAUGGGGCCAAGAAAACAGGGUACUGUGACAAACUAGGGGUGUGGGGUGCAGGAAGGGAGGGGGUCCCAGAAACUGUCAGAGAAGGCUUCCCCAAGGAGGGUAUGUGUGAGCAGAGACCUGCGUGAGGCACAGGAGCCAGCCGUGUGAGGAUCUGGGGGGGGGGGGUGUGAGUAUUUGCACUACAGAUGCAGGUAACCCUGAAGAGCGGUGUAUGUCUGAUAGAUUUGAGAGAACCAGAAUAUUCCAGAAUGGUUAGAGGGCAGGGAGCGAGGACGAGAGAAGUUGGGAUGUGACAGGGAGGCAGGUAAGUUGGAUAGCUGUCUCUCCCCCACCCCCACGUGGGCAACUUGAUUUUUCUCUACGAACUUGUAUUUUGAAUCGCUAUCCUGCGUGGCGGAAGAAAUGAACUGUCGAAUAAUUUGAGGCUGCUUGCCUUUCCCCAGGUUUGCAUUUAUGGUCUGGGGGGCUGAACUGCAAAAUCAUCAUUCCAAGGGCCCAGCUGUUCCUUGAUGUCCUUUGGGCAUCUGCUGAGCUGUGCUCCCCGCGUGGGUCUCUGUCUAUCCAUACUGUUGCCAGAGACAGUCUCCCGUCUGAAGGGUCCCUCCCUCUCCUCCUCCUCAGCAGUUUUGGGAGGACAAAAUUGGAGUGUCAUUCUCUGACACCGACUGAAGCUUCUUUUGCCUCCACUGGUGUGUUGGUAAAUGUUUAACAAUCAGCUUUGGCGGAUGGAGGGUGGGAGGUGAAGUGAGAGAAGUUCUGAUUUGUCGCGUUUGCCAAUUUCUGGGGUGUAAGUACUCCUGCCAUGGCUGAUUUGAAGCUACCAGUGGCUUCUUUUAAUUGAAUACAUUUGACAUGCCAUCUUGUGUAAAGUUAAGGUAUACAACGUGUUAAUUGGAUACGUGUAUAUAUUGUAAUAUGAUAGAGAUAUUUAGCACCUCUGUCACAUUCCCUAAUUAUCCUUCCUUUUUAGUGGUUGGUAGCUUUCGGUUUGAUUGAUAGGUUGGCGUGCUCUGAUUUGUUCUGGAAAGCUCACCUGGGCUGUAGUGUGGAGGACGGAUUUGCAGAGGGUAGGGAGGGAAGCAAGCAGACGAGUUAGGAAGCUGGGAGCAGGUUGGUGGGAGUGGAGGUGCUGAGAGAGAAGUGGAUGGAACUGGAAUGUAUUUUGAGGGUUGAGUCAAAAGGACUUGCUGGUAGAUUGACUGGGGAGGGCGAGGGGGCCUCACCUCUGCAGGUGAGUUGUGAUGCACUGUCCCUGUGGUAUUGUCCUCAUCUGUGAAUCGCCCAUUCUGCCACCAGAGACCUCUUCCUUUAAAAAAAAAAA